AGUUCUGCCCAUGGGCACAGGCCAUUGGUCUCAACUGCGCAUGGUUUGCCCUGUAAUGCCCUCCAAAUGACCAGCUGAAAAGAUUGAUAGUCUAGAGCAGAGGACCUGCGGCACCUGAUCCACAGACCAGACAGUUAGGAGGCUUCUUUGUCCUCCCAGAAGUGCAAGCAAAGUUUUGGUGUUCAUCAAAUGAGUGAUCAAUGACAGGCUAUCACACCUACUGCAAAAAUAUAUGGCACUUCCCUCUCCACCUCCACAGUGGGCUGUGAAAAUUAAUUGAGUUCAGGCUGUGAAAAACUUAAGCUGCUACAUGAAAUGCAAAAUCAUUAAGCUUCAGAGAUUGUAACAUUCUGCUUGUGGCCUUGGGACUGAAACACCAGAUGUCAUGCCCAAUAAUGACUUCACUUUUCAUCCAACUUCAACAACUCAAGAUUGAGCGCAUUUUGGGUUUUGACCUUGCACUGCUAUACUGAGAUUCAGCAGAAGUUAACUACCCGCAAGACUCCCUCCAGAGAACUGGGGCCUCAGGAUCAUCUUCAACACCUUCACCCAGAGUACGGAGACAAAACCCUUGCCACAUAGACCUGCCACACCACAAUACCAGGUGGAGAUGCACCGUUGCUUGAGUUGGUCCACCAAGAAAGUUGCCAUAGAAGCCUGAAGUUACGACAGCUUAUAAGGAAGUGGUUAUCGAUUAUGACGGAUGGAGAAAGUGGCAAACGUGGCUGAAAGUGGACAUUUUUGCCUUGACAACUCCAUCUGCUCCUCCUCUAUGAAAGCUCCAUCCAGGGCCAGGCGCGGUGGCUCAUGCCUGUAAUCAACACUUUGGGAGGCCAAGAGAUGCCCAGGUCCCAAAUGUAAUAAUUCCAUGGUAUGAUGGGUUGCUGCUGCACCUGUCUGAUUGAGAUGUUUCCCAGUCUGGUCUUGAAUUCCUCAGCUCAAGCGACCCUCCUGCCACAGCCUCCCAAAGUUCUGGGAUUACAGGCAUGACCCACCAUGCCUGGCUACCUUGAGGACCUUAAAAGAGGGAGCAUAUCCUGAAUUAUCCAGGUGGACCCAAUGUAAUCUGAAGGGUCCCCAUAUGAGGGAGGUAGAGGAGGAUUUGACUACAGAACAGAAGGCAAUGUGACAACUGAAGCAAAAUGCUACACGCUGGCUUGGAGGAUGGAGGAAGGAGCCAUAAGCCAAGGAAUGCCAGCAGUCACCGGGAGCUGAAAAAGGUGAAGAAAUGGACACUCCCCGAGCCUGUAGAGCAAGUAUGGCCCUAUUGACCCUUGAUCUCAGCCAAGAGAAAUUGAUUUCAGACUUCUGACCCCCAGAACUGUACGGCAAUAAAUGCGUGCUGUUUUAAGCAA
Molecule: long non-coding RNA, 1355 nt
Organism: Pan troglodytes (chimpanzee)
Lineage: Eukaryota; Metazoa; Chordata; Mammalia; Primates; Hominidae
Exons: 5
Source: RefSeq, a predicted model, not a curated record